GAUGAACGCUGGCGGCGUGCCUAAUACAUGCAAGUCGAGCGAACAGACGAGGAGCUUGCUCCUCUGACGUUAGCGGCGGACGGGUGAGUAACACGUGGAUAACCUACCUAUAAGACUGGGAUAACUUCGGGAAACCGGAGCUAAUACCGGAUAAUAUAUUGAACCGCAUGGUUCAAUAGUGAAAGACGGUUUUGCUGUCACUUAUAGAGGGAUCCGCGCCGCAUUAGCAUGUUGGUAAGGUAACGGCUUACCAAGGCAACGAUGCGUAGCCGACCUGAGAGUGUGAUCGGCCACACUGGAACUGAGACACGGUCCAGACUCCUACGGGAGGCAGCAGUAGGGAAUCUUAAGCAAGGGGCGAGGGCGUGACGGAGCAACACCGCGUGAGUGAUGAAGGUCUUCGGAUCGUAGAACUCUGUUAUUAGGGAAGACGAAAAGUGUAAGUAACUAUGCACGUCUUGACGGUACCUGAAGAGAAAGCCACGGCUAACUACGUG
This 497-nucleotide ribosomal RNA is filed under the name uncultured bacterium. RNAcentral's name for it is "partial 16S ribosomal RNA". It matches the Rfam family "Bacterial small subunit ribosomal RNA", at positions 28 to 507 of the family's 1533-position model. The record is from RNAcentral.